Molecule: ribosomal RNA, 1559 nt
Filed under: Submyotodon latirostris (Taiwan broad-muzzled bat)
Lineage: Eukaryota; Metazoa; Chordata; Mammalia; Chiroptera; Vespertilionidae
Description: 16S ribosomal RNA
Rfam family: Bacterial large subunit ribosomal RNA
Source: RNAcentral
ACUAAACAUAGCCCAAAAUACACUUUAUAUAAUACUCCAAUAGCAUUAAAAUAAAACAUUCAUACCAAUAAAAGUAUAGGUGAUAGAAAUUUUACUCGGCGCUAUAGAGAAAGUACCGCAAGGGAAAAAAUGAAAGAAAGUUAUAAGUAAAAAAUAGCAAAGUUUAAUUCUUGUACCUUUUGCAUAAUGAUUCAACUAGAAGAUAUUAGCAAAAAGAUUUACAGUUAAGUAACCCGAAACCAGACGAGCUACCCAUUAGCAGCUUAAAGAGCAAACUCGUCUAUGUGGCAAAAUAGUGAGAAGACUAGCGGGUAGAGGCGACAAACCUACCGAGCCUGGUGAUAGCUGGUUGUCCAGAGUAGAAUUUUAGUUCUAAUUUAAACCUACCACAAAAAUAAAAAAAAUUAAAUGUAGGUUUAAAUAAUAAUUUAAAAGGGUACAGCCUUUUAAAUACGGGAUACAACCCCAAUUAGUGAGUAAAACAAAUUAAACCACUUCAGUUGGCCUAAAAGCAGCCACCAAAUAAGAUAGCGUUCAAGCUCGACAGCAUAAAAAACUUAAUACCAACUAUGAUAAUGAUACUCCUAAUAUAUAACUGGACUACUCUAUUUAAAAAUAGAGGUAAUAAUGUUGAUAUGAGUAACAAGAAAAAUUUCUCCUCGCAUACGUGUAUAUCAGAGCGAAUGACUCACUGAUAGUUAACAAAAUAAGUAAAAACAACCAAUUAAACUCUUAUAAACAACUGUUAACCCAACACAGGAAUGCAAGCAGGGAAAGAUUAAAAGAAGUAAAAGGAACUCAGCAAACACAAACCCCGCCUGUUUACCAAAAACAUCACCUCUAGCAUAAAAAGUAUUAGAGGCACUGCCUGCCCGGUGACCCUAGUUUAACGGCCGCGGUAUCCUGACCGUGCAAAGGUAGCAUAAUCACUUGUUCUCUAAAUAAGGACUUGUAUGAAUGGCUUAACGAGGGUUUUACUGUCUCUUACUUCCAAUCAGUGAAAUUGAUCUUCCCGUGAAGAGGCGGGAAUACAUAAAUAAGACGAGAAGACCCUAUGGAGCUUUAAUUAACCAACUCACAAAGCAUAAUUCCACUCUACAAGAGAUAAAUACAUUUCCACUGAGCUGGUAAUUUAGGUUGGGGUGACCUCGGAAUAAAAACCAACUCCCGAGAAAGUUUUAUCAAGACAUACAAGUCAAAAUUACUACGUCCUAUAUUGAUCCGUCAAAGACGAUCAACGAAAUAAGUUACCCUAGGGAUAACAGCGCAAUCCUAUUUAAGAGUCCAUAUCGACAAUUAGGGUUUACGACCUCGAUGUUGGAUCAGGACAUCCCAAUGGUGCAGCCGCUAUUAAUGUGUUCGUUUGUUCAACGAUUAAAGUCCUACGUGAUCUGAGUUCAGACCGGAGUAAUCCAGGUCGGUUUCUAUCUAUUCUAUAAGUCUCUCCCAGUACGAAAGGACAAGAGAGACAGGGCCCACUUUAAAUAAGCGCCCUCAUUACAACAGAUGAGCUAAUCUCAAUCUGACCAUAUCCACAAAGACAGCCCAAGAACAGGGUC